CAAGGACAAUCAUCUGGUGCAAUAGAGGGAUAACUUCACCCAGUUGGAAGCAAUGAGGCAUUGUGUCACAGAGGAGCUGAGAUUUAAGGAUGGUCAAAAAUUAACUAGGUGAGCUAGUUUGAGAAAAAGAAUUCUGGCAAGUGGGAAGGGCAUGCAUGAGGUUAUGAAUACAGAAGACAACAAUGAACAUAAAGCCUUGGUAGAAAAAAGAAAAAACAAAAGUUGAACUCAGUGUGCAUCUGUGUUAUAAGCCAAAGAAGCAUGUAAACCAAGAACACCGAUGAAAUCAAUGUGAUUGGAAAUCUAAGAAGAUAAAAGGCCAGACUCAGUGCAAGCAGAAACAAGUGUAAAAACCAUCAUGUACAACUCAACAAUUUAUUGAAACAUAAACUCUGCCUGAAUAAAGAAAUAGGACAUCACCAGCACUCUCAAGACUAUCCUCUCCCUCACCUAAAGGCUGAGAACAUAGAGUCCCAAUACUGUGUACAAAUGUUACUUGGAUUAGUUGUUGCUAAUAAAGCAUGCACUGCUGCCCGUCCUUAUAUAGAAGGCUAUCAUCGCAGAUAAUGACUACCAAGGUAAUUUCUGUCAUCUGCUGGCUUCAAGGAAGCACCAUGCUCAGAGCCUUUCAGAUGUCUUUGAAAUCAAAGACCUCCGUGUGGAUGUUUGGUUUUACUGCACCAGGCGAGCAGACCCCAGUUUGCUUCGGUCCUCAUGGUGUGAUGAUCUGUGAACCAAUGUACACCAAAACAUUGGUGUAGCAGGGAGAGGAAUCCGAAUGAAGAUUCCAUUGUAAAAGGAAAAAAAUCAGAGACAGCAUUACGGCAUUUACAGUUGGCAUAAUUAUAAUUUCCUGCAGGGCAGUUAUGAGGAAGGCACUGUCCUGAGAAUGGGAAAAGUCCCUGACAAGACUCUGGUUCUGUCUUCUGAAGGAACCCUCGUGUCCACUGUCCUCUUGGCUCUCCUCCCUGGGAAGUUCUCCUUCAGCCAGUUAUCCUACAUGGGCUCAUCUGAAGGGGCAGCAAGGAGGGUGCCCUGACUUGGGGCUGCAAGGCUUUCACAACCCACUUCCUUGUGGUGGAGAGAGGAUGCGGUGUUGUUUUGAACCUCAAAUAAUAAAUUAUUUUGCU
Molecule: long non-coding RNA, 1130 nt
Filed under: Homo sapiens (human)
Lineage: Eukaryota; Metazoa; Chordata; Mammalia; Primates; Hominidae
Description: HSALNT0122794
Source: RNAcentral